UCAACAUCACGAUAAAUUGAGGAUUUAACCUCAAUAACGAUAAAUGGACAAUAACUACAGGUAUGGAUUCUUACUUUUUCACCUCAUCUGUUACUUUUGAGCAGAUCAAAGGGCAUUUCGAUGCUGCGUCAGUGAGGUGAAAUCACCGCAGCACACGAUGAGCGGAGCACGUCAGGAACGAUUAAAAGACAGAGUACCAGAGGACAUAAACAGAUAUGAACGAUCAUGUGUUAAUAAUGAUGUUUUGUUGCACCACCUUGAGAAUGUAUUGUGCGCCGGACGUGGCGGGCGCACCAACGAUCAGCGCUCUGUAGAUCUGUCAGAAAGCUCUCACGCCAUCACAGGACUUUCUUAAGUCAUUCACUGCCAUUAACGACUAAAGUCAUCAUUUUAAAUCCAACCGUUCACUGUCAUUGCAUUUUUUUUACUGUGUGGGCAUCGGAACGAGCCCCCGCACCGUGAGAACAAACAUCCCAGCUCCAAAGCCCAUCUUCAUCCGCGUACAUCACAUGCCACGUGACCGGGAAGCAGAAAAUCCGUGUGUUAGAUCGUUUUGGGCUGCUGUAAAAAAAAAAAGUGAGGGGCGGACCGGAAAAGCUUCUGCCGAUCACAAUUUGACAACGGAUUAUGAAAGAACAGAUAUCUCUUGAAACGCGUGGAUUCUUCCUGAUGUAAGAGAAGAACGCUCCGUGACAAACAGACUGUAGGUGUCUGCUGUGCUGCUCUGCUUAUAAAAGGCCAUUAGCCAAGGGCCAGUGAGGUGAGGGAGGUUUCUGACUGACAACGCCAUUCCUCACAGCACUUCCCACCGGAGGGCAUCGCUCCUGACCUUGAGAUGCCAAGCUUGUUGGGCACCCCCGCCUUCUCCUAGAAACACCUUCCUGGCCUUGUCUUUCUGAUGGCCCUCCUUUAGGACCGCAACACACCCCGCGCACGUGUGUGUGUGUGUGUGUGUGUGUGUGUGUGUGUGUGUGUGUGUGUGUGUGUGUGUGUGUGUGUGUGUGUGUGUGUGUGUGUGUGUGUGUGUGUGUGUGUGUGUGUGUGUGUGUGUGAAAUGCAAAUGUCCUAAUCCACUUUUUGAGAGCAGACCUCUGUGUUCUCUACUUUUGUUUUAAAUGUACCUCUGGGUUCGUAUGUAGUUUGUCGUCUCACCUGAUACUACAAUUCACUUUACAUAAAAGUGUCUGCUAACCCAGGGUAAUAAAAUCUAAACGCCCACAGGUAUAGCUGUCUCGUGUCGCUGCAGCUGCACACAGACUGUGAUGAUAAACAGCUGAUCGCUCCCACAGCGACGCAGUGUCAGCUCAGGAACACGGAGCCUCUUGUCUGAACUUUGCACCUUGUUUUUAAUGUGAUGGGGAAAGACAUUAUGCUUUUACUAAUUAAAUAACAUUUAUUUGUUUAGAGUAAGUAUUAGAAGUUUUAAUUUACAAAGUUCACUUUAAAAAGUCUCAUUAAUUAACACUUUAAAUUUAUGGAAGGAAAAGCAUUCAUUAUUGAAAUCUAAAGGCUUUAAAAUGACUGACAUUAGAUGUAAAACCUUAUUUAGGUUUCCAUAGACGUGUCCUUCUCAAAGCAAAAAAAAAAAAUGAAAUGAUUAAAGACUAAGUAAAUGACUUAUGUUUGCCACACUGAUUUGUGUUAGUUGUGUUGUGUUGUCAGUUACUGACUGUACUGAAAACAAAUACCAUCAGUUUGGCUGCGCAGUCAGUAAAAAAUGAUUAUAGAAAAAUGCAUUCAUCAGUGUAACCCUUCAUCCUCAGCACCAAAUCAAAACAACUAAACAUUUGAACUCAUUUGAAGCAGUGGUGAAUAUACAGAAUCCAAAUGAAUAAUAAUAGUGAGUGGAUCACAUUCAUAUUUCUUUACAUGUAUAGAUUAGUGAGUUCAUGUUUCUAAAAGGUACAGACUAAACCAGGAGUGUCA
Nothobranchius furzeri (turquoise killifish) is the source of this 1926-nucleotide non-coding RNA. The record is from RefSeq and is a predicted model, not a curated record. NCBI's taxonomy places the organism in Eukaryota, Metazoa, Chordata, Actinopteri, Cyprinodontiformes, Nothobranchiidae.